This 495-nucleotide ribosomal RNA is filed under the name uncultured bacterium. RNAcentral's name for it is "partial 16S ribosomal RNA". It matches the Rfam family "Bacterial small subunit ribosomal RNA", at positions 28 to 507 of the family's 1533-position model. The record is from RNAcentral.
GACGAACGCUGGCGGCGUGCCUAAUACAUGCAAGUAGAACGCUGAAGGAGGAGCUUGCUUCUCUGGAUGAGUUGCGAACGGGUGAGUAACGCGUAGGUAACUUGCCUGGUAGCGGGGGAUAACUAUUGGAAACGAUAGCUAAUACCGCAUAAGAGUAGAUGUUGCAUGACAUUUGCUUAAAAGGUGCAAUUGCAUCACUACCAGAUGGACCUGCGUUGUAUUAGCUAGUUGGUGGGGUAACGGCUUACCAAGGCGACGAUACAUAGCCGACCUGAGAGGGUGAUCGGCCACACUGGGACUGAGACACGGCCCAGACUCCUACGGGAGGCAGCAGUAGGGAAUCUUCGGCAAUGGACGGAAGUCUGACCGAGCAACGCCGCGUGAGUGAAGAAGGUUUUCGGAUCGUAAAGCUCUGUUGUAAGAGAAGAACGAGUGUGAGAGUGGAAAGUUCACACUGUGACGGUAUCUUACCAGAAAGGGACGGCUAACUACGUG